GACGAACGCUGGCGGUGUGCUUCACACAUGCAAGUCGAACGGGGUAGCAAUACCUAGUGGCGGACGGGUGAGUAACGCGUGGGAAUCUGCCUUGAAAUGGGGGAUAGCAAGCCGAAAGGUUUAUUAAUACCGCAUAUGAUUACAUCAAGACAUUUUUUGUAAUUGAAAGGAGCAAUCCGUUUCAAGAUGAGCCCCGCGUCCGAUUAGCUAGUUGGUAGGGUAACGGCCUACCAAGGCGACGAUCGGUAGGUGGUCUGAGAGGAUGAUCACCCACAAUGGGACUGAGACACGGCCCAU
Molecule: ribosomal RNA, 297 nt
Filed under: uncultured bacterium
Lineage: Bacteria
Description: partial 16S ribosomal RNA
Rfam family: Bacterial small subunit ribosomal RNA
Source: RNAcentral